RNAcentral lists this ribosomal RNA (433 nucleotides) under uncultured bacterium. Its description in RNAcentral is "partial 16S ribosomal RNA". It matches the Rfam family "Bacterial small subunit ribosomal RNA", at positions 29 to 507 of the family's 1533-position model. The record is from RNAcentral.
AACGAACGCUGGCGGCAUGCCUAACACAUGCAAGUCGAACGAGACCUUCGGGUCUAGUGGCGCACGGGUGCGUAACGCGUGGGAACCUGCCCUUAGGCUCGGAAUAACUCCCCGCAAGGGGUGCUAAUACCGGAUAAUGUCUUCGGACCAAAGAUUUAUCGCCUUUGGAUGGGCCCGCGUUGGAUUAGCUAGUUGGUAGGGUAAAAGCCUACCAAGGCGACGAUCCAUAGCUGGUCUGAGAGGAUGAUCAGCCACACUGGGACUGAGACACGGCCCAGACUCCUACGGGAGGCAGCAGUGGGGAAUAUUGGACAAUGAGCGAGAGCCUGAUCCAGCAAUGCCGCGUGAGUGAUGAAGGCCUUAGGGUUGUAAAGCUCUUUUAACCGGGAUGAUAAUGACAGUACCGUGAGAAUAAGCUCCGGCUAACUCCGUG